RNAcentral lists this ribosomal RNA (497 nucleotides) under uncultured bacterium. Its description in RNAcentral is "partial 16S ribosomal RNA". It matches the Rfam family "Bacterial small subunit ribosomal RNA", at positions 28 to 507 of the family's 1533-position model. The record is from RNAcentral.
GAUGAACGCUGGCGGCGUGCCUAAUACAUGCAAGUCGAGCGAACGGACGAGAAGCUUGCUUCUCUGAUGUUAGCGGCGGACGGGUGAGUAACACGUGGAUAACCUACCUAUAAGACUGGGAUAACUUCGGGAAACCGGAGCUAAUACCGGAUGAUAUUUUGAACCGCAUGGUUCAAAAGUGAAAGACGGUCUUGCUGUCACUUAUAGAUGGAUCCGCGCUGCAUUAGCUAGUUGGUAAGGUAACGGCUUACCAAGGCAACGAUGCAUAGCCGACCUGAGAGGAGGGGCAGCCAGAAGGGAACGGAGACGCGGUCGGAACGACAACGGGACGCAGAAGCGGGGAAUAUGGGACAAGGGGCGGAAGGAUGAACCAGCCAUACAGAGGGGGUGAAGAAGGCAGUAGGUACGGAAAGACCUUUUGUCGGGAAAGAAAAGAAGAGCGAGAACAAACCGCGUGCCGGAAGGUAGGAAAAGAAGAAGAAAAGGCGAAAUUCGUG